UGGAUCACCUCCUAACAGGGAGACAACAAAAUGUUAAAUAUUAAUUUUGUCACCUUAGGUCGAUCGGUAUCUCACAUUCUUAAUUUAUUUAAGGAUUUUAUUUCCUAAGUUUUUUCUAGGUCACACCCAUUACUUUUCCUGGGCCAUUAGCUCAGGUGGUUAGAGCGCACCCCUGAUAAGGGUGAGGUCCCUGGUUCAAGUCCAGGAUGGCCCAUAUCUCUAUGUUGGGGGUAUAGCUCAGUUGGUAGAGCGCCUGCUUUGCAAGCAGGAUGUCAGCGGUUCGAGUCCGCUUACCUCCACUGAUUACCACCUCUUCCAUGAUUUUCGAAGGAAAAUGUUUUGAGUUGUGAUCAAAUUCUGAAAGAAUCUAGCUUCCUAAUGAAAUCAUUAAGAUGCUGGACUCAUUGAAUUAUUUUCAUUGUUUUCAGAGAACCUUGACAACUGCAUAGAUUAUUUUUAAAGACAAUAAGCAUCUUUAAUGAUGCAGAUUUAUUAUUUGUGCAAAUGCAUUAAAUAACAAUUCUAUUAAGCUGAUGCUUCAAUUUUUGAAGUUAUUGGUCAAGCUACAAAGGGCUCACGGAGGAUACCUAGGCACACAGAGGCGAUGAAGG
Molecule: transfer RNA, 611 nt
Filed under: uncultured Prochlorococcus sp.
Lineage: Bacteria; Bacillati; Cyanobacteriota; Cyanophyceae; Synechococcales; Prochlorococcaceae
Description: partial contains 16S ribosomal RNA, 16S-23S ribosomal RNA intergenic spacer, and 23S ribosomal RNA
Rfam family: tRNA (bases 227-299)
Source: RNAcentral